UGUAAGAGUUGAAGAUGUGAGAAUCCUGA
RNAcentral lists this non-coding RNA (29 nucleotides) under Rattus norvegicus (Norway rat). The record is from RNAcentral. Lineage: Eukaryota; Metazoa; Chordata; Mammalia; Rodentia; Muridae.